RNAcentral lists this ribosomal RNA (245 nucleotides) under uncultured Anaerolineaceae bacterium. RNAcentral's name for it is "partial 16S ribosomal RNA". It matches the Rfam family "Bacterial small subunit ribosomal RNA", at positions 524 to 768 of the family's 1533-position model. The record is from RNAcentral. Lineage: Bacteria; Bacillati; Chloroflexota; Anaerolineae; Anaerolineales; Anaerolineaceae.
AACGUAGGAGGCGAGCGUUAUCCGGAUUUACUGGGUGUAAAGCGCGUGCAGGCGGUGGGCUAAGUUGGGUGUGAAAGCUCCUGGCUCAACUGGGAGAGGUCGCUCAAGACUGGCCUGCUGGAGAGCAGUAGGGGAAGGUGGAAUUCCGGGUGUAGUGGUGAAAUGCGUAGAUACUCGGAGGAACACCAGUGGCGAAGGCGGCCUUCUGGACUGGCUCUGACGCUCAGACGCGAAAGCUAGGGGAG